AGUGAACGCUGGCGGUAGGCCUAACACAUGCAAGUCGAACGGCAGCACAGUAAGAGCUUGCUCUUACGGGUGGCGAGUGGCGGACGGGUGAGGAAUACAUCGGAAUCUACUUUUUCGUGGGGGAUCACGUAGGGAAACUUACGCUAAUACCGCAUACGACCUACGGGUGAAAGCAGGGGAUCUUCGGACCUUGCGCGAUUGAAUGAGCCGAUGUCGGAUUAGCUAGUUGGCGGGGUAAAGGCCCACCAAGGCGACGAUCCGUAGCUGGUCUAAGAGGAUGAUCAGCCACACUGGAACUGAGACACGGUCCAGACUCCUACGGGAGGCAGCAGUGGGGAAUAUUGGACAAUGGGCGCAAGCCUGAUCCAGCCAUACCGCGUGGGUGAAGAAGGCCUUCGGGUUGUAAAGCCCUUUUGUUGGGAAAGAAAAGCAGCAGGUUAAUACCCCGCUGUUCUGACGGUACCCAAAGAAUAAGCACCGGCUAACUUCGUG
This 492-nucleotide ribosomal RNA is filed under the name uncultured bacterium. RNAcentral's name for it is "partial 16S ribosomal RNA". It matches the Rfam family "Bacterial small subunit ribosomal RNA", at positions 29 to 507 of the family's 1533-position model. The record is from RNAcentral.